Molecule: long non-coding RNA, 847 nt
Organism: Eriocheir sinensis (Chinese mitten crab)
Lineage: Eukaryota; Metazoa; Arthropoda; Malacostraca; Decapoda; Varunidae
Exons: 2
Source: RefSeq, a predicted model, not a curated record
GUUAAGGAAAACAAAACAUGGGAAAAAAACUUUUAUUUGUAGCAGAAAGGUACACACAUGCAAAUGAAAAAGAUGACAUUAAAAUUGCAUUAAAAUGUCAUUUAGAAUAUGAUUUAUAAUUAUUGCUGCCGGUUAUUCAUAUUGAGAUAAUGGUCGAGGUGACCACAUCGCGAACAUCAUGACUUAUGAGUGAAGUAAAACGAGGUUACUUGGUUUCUGUUUACAAAGUUCCAAGUGGAAAAACAACUUUAUUGUGAAUUCAGUGUAUACUUUUCUGGAGUAUUGUGUUUACUGAGUGAAUUGGUGACCAAUCUGUUGCUAUUUGUGUCUUGCUUGAGGAUAUUCAUCAUUGGAUUCAAAACUAUGGUAUUAAUGUGCAAUAAUCAUCAUAACAAAAUACGUAGUAAUUAAUUAUAUAUGUCAACCUAUUUAUUUUCAUGAGAUCAUGGUAUGACCACUGAAAAACAUAGCUUUUUAUCUUGGCUCCAUUACAAAUUCAGUAUAUAAUUACUCUAUUAGUGGACUCUAGUUUUCAGCAUCUUUUAUUAUUAUGCCAAUAUUCUAAGCACUCAGCUUGCAAAGAUGCUUAGGUUUAUGUUGUCAGUUUGGGUCGGACUUAUGUGAACACUUUACCAAGUGACCUAAGAUUACUCAAUGCUCGCAAAGCUAUGGUAUUAACGUGCAAUGGUCAUCAUACCAAAAUACGUAGUAAUUAAUUAUAUAUGUCAACCUAAUUAUUUUCAUGAGAUCAUGGUAUGACCGCUGAAAACAUAGCUUUUUUUUAUCUUAGCUCCAUUACAAAUUCAGUAUAUAAUUAUUCAUAUAUUCAAUAAAGUAGUGGAAUCCA